Non-coding RNA from Nestor notabilis (Kea), 193 nucleotides. The record is from Rfam. Lineage: Eukaryota; Metazoa; Chordata; Aves; Psittaciformes; Psittacidae.
CUUUUUGAGAUAAAGGAUCCACUCCAAGUCCAACCACACCUAAGGAAAUGCUUUGAAGGAAUUGCUAAGCUCACUUUUAAUCAUGAGAAAGAAAUUACCCACAUGGAGUCAGCAGAAAACGAAAAUGUAGAUCUCGUGCUGCGAAUAAUUCCAGCAAGUGCCAAGGGGCUAGUUGAGAAAUGGCUUCAUGAGG